AUGGCGUCCAUGCCGUUACCUUCUCUGCACAGCGAUGGGGGACCAUGGCCAAUGGCAUCCGUGCCGUUAUCUUCUCUGCAGCGCGAUGGGGGACCAUGGCCGAUGGUGUCCGUGCCGUUGUCUUCUCUGCAGAGUGAUGGGUGGCCAUGGCUGAUGGCGUCUGUGCCGUUAUCUUCUCUGCUUUUGUGUAUGUUUGAACAUUUCUAUAAUAAAAACUUAAGUGAAAAGCUUACUGUGCUGGCUACCUGGAGGCGUGGUGUUUUUGUUCAUUUUGUUUUUAGAAUUGGGGUGGGAAGUAGUGGGAUUGGGGGUCCAUGGGGGCCAUUUCUUGGGUUUUCCCGAAGUGGGUUCUGUGCUUGGCAUCAUGAAGCAAGUGGAGCAUGUGUUUGCUCCAUGCCUGUGGGCUGCAUGGAGGCAGCCUGACGAACACAUUUUGAGGUGCCCCCGGGAGGUCGCUGAGGCCGUGUAUGUCUGUUCCAUGCAGCAGCUGUCAUCUCUGUUUUUGAACACAUUGACGGUGUGUAGUCUGCUUGGGGGGACGUUUGAGGUCAACAGAGUGGCCAGAAGAGGCUCCCUCGUUAUUGCAACGAUCCACACUCCACUCUGCUGUCAUUGAACGUACCCGCAAGCCUGCACCCUCUUCAUCUCUUCUUUGUCUGUAGCAACCGUCCCCAAUCCUGACAUCGGUGAUUGUGUGCAUUGUGUCUUGUCUGUCCCCACCUAGAAUGUGAGUUUCAUAGGAGGAGCCUUAUCUGCUUUGCUAAGUUUCUAAGUGUCUCCAUCGAUUCCCUGCACAUGGUCAGUGCACAACAGAUGUCAGUUGAAUGCUUAGUACUUAGGAGACAAGAGGCUUUCAAUUUUCCUCAGUUAAUUUGUAUGAAAGUAAUGCAUAUAUAUGGUUCAUUUAAAAGCCGAGAAAUAUAGGGCUUAAAAUAAGAAGCAACAGAUCCUGCCCCUCCUUCCUGAGCUCACCCCCCACACCCAGGGGCAACAGUAGCCUCUCCCACGUUGAGGUCCUGCGGCAGCUGCCCCUUUUCCGUGUGGUUCCACCCUAUCUCAUCAGAAGUUGACUCAGUCCUUCUCUGUACAGUAGCCUCUCCCGCAUUGAGGUCCCGCCUUGGCUGCCACUUCUCCAUCGGCUUCUACCCUGUCUCAUCAGGAACGGACUCAGUCCUCCUCUGUGUAGCCCCUGUGGUGCCCCCUGUGCUGUAGGGUGAGGACUCUCCUCUUUCAAUUCCCCUACGUCCAGGCUGUGUUAGCCAACCCUGUGGUACUCCCUGCGCUGUACGGUGAGGACGCUCCUCUUUCAAUUCCCCUACGUCCAGGCUGUGUUAGCCAACAUUUUGUUUUCCCACUGUCAAGUUAAAAGCAUCAUGCCCGGCCCUGCAGCUGCAGUGAUGGGCGGAUCCUCGGGGUGCUGCCUGUGUUGCAGCUGUGCCAGCGUUGAUUGCAGAUGAGCCGAGUGGGGCCCUCUGUGCCCCUGAGCCACUGGGCAACAGAGUAAGACUGUGUCUUACUCUGGAAGAGAAGGCUCUUUGUGCAGUUCUAAGAGAUGCUCCUGCUUCAUCCUGCAACAGCCACCCCAAAUCUGCCACUUCUAACUGUGGUGUUGGGACUUUCUCUUCUUGCAUAGUUUUUCCUUGUGUUUCCCAAAGGUUCUGGUCACUUCCUUUCCUUUGUGUCUCCCUCCUCAUCCCCUCCUGACCUCACUCACUCCACCUGUCUUAUCGAACCCCCCAAGCCCAGAGGUGUCCACUGGAAUCCUGGCUCUCCAGCCCAAGGUCACCUUGAGAUGCCACAGUCUGUGAGUGGCAGGGGAAAUCUGUGGGGUGGCAGGAGGCUGCCCGGGACAAGGUUGCAGGGGCAGGCACAUGGUGUGCUCAGAGCUCCUGGGUGAACCAGGGAGAAUGAGGAAGGCCUUGAGGAGCCUGGCGAAGGUGAACCUGGUAGGUCCAUGGUCUCCACUGGGAGAUGGGGAGGACCCACUGGGCAGGGGAGACAGUGCUUCUGGAUGGGAAGGUUUAAUUCUGUAAAUAUAUGAAUUCUCUCUGAAUAAACCUAUACAUGUAAGUUAUCACAACACAAUAUUAACAAUUUUUUUUGAAAUUAAGCAAACUAGCUUUAAAGUCCAGGUUCAGACGCAAACAUGAGACUAAACAGAAAAGUUAUGAAAAAGAGAAGUUGUGUGUGGGGCGUUGAGUCUUGCACACUCAGUGCUUUGCAGUGAUGGGACAUUUAAGCCAGAGUGGGGAACAGACGGGCAGAUUGAAGGGAAAGAAUAGAAAGUCUAGAAAUAGACCCAAAUGCGUAUGGGUAUUUGGUAUAUGAUAAUGAUGACAUUUUAAAUCAGUGGGGAAAAGAUGUAUUAUUCAGUAAUGAUUUGGGGACAACUGGCCAGACAUUUGGAAAAUAUAUAGCUGCGUCCCUCCCAAACUCCUUACCCCAAAAUAAAAUCCAGAUGGUGCAGAGACUUAAAAAUAUAAUGGAAUUUUACAAGUACUGGAAGAAAACGUGGGGGAAUUUUUAAUAAUUUUGAGAGGGAAUUAAUUUUUUUAAGGAAUACAGCCCAAUAUCUAAGGAAAUUAAAAUUCACAUAACUUUAACUCACCAGCCUGACUCCUGGGAAGUUACGUGAUGGAUGUUCAGGCUGGGUGUAAAGAACCAAACGCGCAAUGAUUAUGUGAAACAUUAUUAUAGGAAAAAACCGCGAGCAUUCUAAACACCCUUCAAGUUGUUGUUCAUCUUCAAGACAGAGUUAGGUAGAUGGGCUGACACAGAAGGACCUCAAGACAUUUUGAAAUAAAAAAGGAAGAUGAGAACAGCUGGAAUCCAUGUUAGAAGAAGAUGAACCUGGACCGAAUUUCUUUCAGAGACACCAACUCCUGUGCUCAUGGGUGUGAAAGGCAAGACUAUAAAGGUUUUCAACUGAGAAUAUAAUGUUUCAUGACUUUAGGGUGGAGAAGAAGGUUUUGAGACAGGACACAAAGAGUGCUAAUCGUAAAGGAAAUUAUUGAUAAUUUCAACUGUAUUAAAAUCAAGAAUAACUCUUAGUAAAAAAGACACCAUAAAGAGAAUUAAUUAAAAGACAAGCCACAGAAUGGGAGACAAUAUUUUCAACACAGGUAAACGACAUGUAACCGACAAAGAUCUCACGUUCAAAACAGAGAGGACCCUGACAAAUCACUGAGAACAAGGCAAUGAAGGGAACCUUUGCAAAACAUUUAAGAAGUUCUAAGGAGAAAAUUCAAAUGACUGAGAAAUAUGUAAAAUGGUCUUCAACCUAAUUAUUAAAUUGGAGCGAUGAAGACGGAAGUCGUAUGAGAUUCAGCAGCUCCCCUACUAGAUGGGCAAAAACCGGAAGCACCAGCUCCAGGUGCAGCUGCGAUGUGGGGCUGGGAGUUCCUGGAAGCACCUGGCUGUGAUACGCAACCUCUGAGCUCCUCGGGGGCUUGGACAGCAGGUGGGCAGGUGUGCUGGAAUGCGGAGAGGUGUGUUUGUUGCAGCUGAGGUUUCGCUCCUUGCCCUCCACGCAGCAGAAGCACGCGUAGGCCUGGUCAGGGAGACGUGCAAGGAAGUGUGUAGGUGGCAUUGUUUACAGUCUCCCCAGGCUGGACGCGACCCACAUGCACUUUGGUGGUAGAGGAGAGGAAGGUUAUUGGAACAAUAAAUGGAACAAUGGAAUUUAGCCAUGACGGGGCGACUCGGAUCAUCUCACAGACAUGAAGCUGCGUGAAAGAAGGAAGCUGUGAAAGAUGACAGGCCCUGUGAAUCUGGUGCAGAGGCAGGCACGGCCGUGAGGACAGCUUCCAUCAGGUGGUGCCGAGUCCCACAAAGGAACCUGGAAUCCAGCUGAGUGGGCACGUGCUGCCCGUCACGGCCCUUCAUGUCCUGAACAUCUGUUGAGAGGAGGCGGGGGUGUCACCUUAAUUCCAUCUUGGACACCACAGUGACACAAAGUGCAAAGUGCUGUGCCCCUCAUCCCCACAGAUAUGUGGUGUCCCACUGGUCUCCUAACCACCCAACGCCGUUGCUCCUGACCAUUGGAAAUGCUGGUGGGGCUGGAGCACCUGGACAGUCCAGUCUCGUUCUGGUGGCUGGACUGGAGUAGGGUUGCCUUGAAGCCGUCUUAGGCUGGAAAUGCCCCCAGCAGCAGCGCCAGGGGAACUCUCACUGGGUGCCCUGGGAGCCCCGGGGAACACUUGUCAGUUCAGCUCUGACCUCAAGGUGGGACUGCCCCAUGCCCGUGGCCCGGGAGUGGGGGCUGCAGGAGGAGCCCCUCAUGCUGAGGCCCUCCCUCUGAGGGGCUCCCCUGGGGGCCUCAAAUUCAGCAUCAGGCGCCAGUGAAGACUCAGCUCCUCUGGAGGGGACCCCCCCCGCCCCACCCUCCUGCACUGCAGCGCUGCCCAGGCCUGGGUCUGCGGAGACUUCUGUUUGCCUCUGGCCUGAUGACAGCAGCGUAGAAACCAGCCUCCCUCCUCCUCCCCAGAUCUCUUCUCUUUUUGGGGGGUUUUCAUGCUAACCUACUGUUUUCUCUAAGAAGCAAUACAUGGCUAUUAUGAAACAUUUAGAAAAUGUAUAAUAAAUAAUAAAAUAAUGUUACCGUUCUGAUUUA
This is a long non-coding RNA of Symphalangus syndactylus (siamang), 4612 nucleotides long. RefSeq lists it as uncharacterized. Lineage: Eukaryota; Metazoa; Chordata; Mammalia; Primates; Hylobatidae. The record is from RefSeq and is a predicted model, not a curated record.